CCUCGGCGGGCCCCGCGCCCGCCGACGGCCCCCCUGAACGCUGUCUGAAGUUGCAGUCUGAGACCUAUAACGAAAUUAGUUAAAACUUUCAACAACGGAUCUCUUGGUUCCGGCAUCGAUGAAGAACGCAGCGAAAUGCGAUAACUAAUGUGAAUUGCAGAAUUCAGUGAAUCAUCGAGUCUUUGAACGCACAUUGCGCCCUCUGGUAUUCCGGAGGGCAUGCCUGUCCGAGCGUCAUUGCUGCCCUCAAGCCCGGCUUGUGUGUUGGGCCCCGUCCCCCCCGCCGGGGGGACGGGCCCGAAAGGCAGCGGCGGCACCGCGUCCGGUCCUCGAGCGUAUGGGGCUUCGUCACCCGCUCUAGUAGGCCCGGCCGGCGCCAGCCGACCCCCAACCUUUAAUUAUCUCAGGUUGACCUCGGAUCAGGUAGGGAUACCCGCUGAACUUAAGCAUAUCAAUAA
RNAcentral lists this ribosomal RNA (458 nucleotides) under Penicillium citrinum. Its description in RNAcentral is "eukaryotic LSU rRNA". The stretch from base 84 to 237 matches the Rfam family "5.8S ribosomal RNA". The record is from RNAcentral. Lineage: Eukaryota; Fungi; Ascomycota; Eurotiomycetes; Eurotiales; Aspergillaceae.